Molecule: ribosomal RNA, 495 nt
Filed under: uncultured bacterium
Lineage: Bacteria
Description: partial 16S ribosomal RNA
Rfam family: Bacterial small subunit ribosomal RNA
Source: RNAcentral
GACGAACGCUGGCGGCGUGCCUAAUACAUGCAAGUAGAACGCUGAAGGAGGAGCUUGCUUCUCUGGAUGAGUUGCGAACGGGUGAGUAACGCGUAGGUAACCUGCCUGGUAGCGGGGGAUAACUAUUGGAAACGAUAGCUAAUACCGCAUAAUAUUGACUAUUGCAUGAUAGUCAGUUGAAAGGUGCAGCUGCACCACUACCAGAUGGACCUGCGUUGUAUUAGCUAGUUGGUGGGGUAACGGCUCACCAAGGCGACGAUACAUAGCCGACCUGAGAGGGUGAUCGGCCACACUGGGACUGAGACACGGCCCAGACUCCUACGGGAGGCAGCAGUAGGGAAUCUUCGGCAAUGGACGGAAGUCUGACCGAGUAACGCCGCGUGAGUGAAGAAGGUUUUCGGAUCGUAAAGCUCUGUUGUAAGAGAAGAACGAGUGUGAGAGUGGAAAGCUCACACUGUGACGGUAUCUUACCAGAAAGGGACGGCUAACUACGUG